RNAcentral lists this ribosomal RNA (666 nucleotides) under Erythromicrobium sp. B04. Its description in RNAcentral is "bacterial SSU rRNA". It matches the Rfam family "Bacterial small subunit ribosomal RNA", at positions 83 to 784 of the family's 1533-position model. The record is from RNAcentral. Lineage: Bacteria; Pseudomonadati; Pseudomonadota; Alphaproteobacteria; Sphingomonadales; Erythrobacteraceae.
CCUUCGGGGUUAGUGGCGCACGGGUGCGUAACGCGUGGGAACCUGCCUUUUGGUUCGGAAUAACAGUGAGAAAUUACUGCUAAUACCGGAUAAUGUCUUCGGACCAAAGAUUUAUCGCCAUUAGAUGGGCCCGCGUAAGAUUAGCUAGUUGGUGGGGUAAAGGCCUACCAAGGCGACGAUCUUUAGCUGGUCUGAGAGGAUGAUCAGCCACACUGGGACUGAGACACGGCCCAGACUCCUACGGGAGGCAGCAGUGGGGAAUAUUGGACAAUGGGCGAAAGCCUGAUCCAGCAAUGCCGCGUGAGUGAUGAAGGCCUUAGGGUUGUAAAGCUCUUUUACCCGAGAUGAUAAUGACAGUAUCGGGAGAAUAAGCUCCGGCUAACUCCGUGCCAGCAGCCGCGGUAAUACGGAGGGAGCUAGCGUUGUUCGGAAUUACUGGGCGUAAAGCGCACGUAGGCGGCUUUUUAAGUCAGAGGUGAAAUCCCGGGGCUCAACCCCGGAACUGCCUUUGAAACUGGAAAGCUAGAAUCUUGGAGAGGCGAGUGGAAUUCCGAGUGUAGAGGUGAAAUUCGUAGAUAUUCGGAAGAACACCAGUGGCGAAGGCGACUCGCUGGACAAGUAUUGACGCUGAAGUGCGAAAGCGUGGGGAGCAAACAGGAUUAGAUA